Molecule: non-coding RNA, 247 nt
Organism: Paramuricea clavata
Lineage: Eukaryota; Metazoa; Cnidaria; Anthozoa; Malacalcyonacea; Plexauridae
Source: the annotation of a GenBank genome assembly
CUUUAGAAUUUUAAGAUUUCUAAUAGAAAUUUAUAAUAAAAUGUCAGAAAUUCCAAAUUUUUGGCUAUUAGCGUUAAUUCACAGAUGCCACCAGUCCAUAUCUAAUAUUCAUGUACUCUUUAAAGGGAAACCGAGGGGAACCAAGUAUCUUUAGGUCUGAUAAAACGCGCACUGUGAAUGUUUUAAAUUGCUUCAAACAUUAUCGAUGUAAGUAAGCUCAUUGCCAUUGGCGAAGUAAUUUUCAAAA